Angiostrongylus costaricensis is the source of this 115-nucleotide non-coding RNA. The record is from Rfam. Lineage: Eukaryota; Metazoa; Nematoda; Chromadorea; Rhabditida; Metastrongylidae.
GCACGGAUGGCCGAGUGGUCUAAGGCGCCACACUCAAGGUUUCACUUGCCACGUGAAAACGGUUGUGCAUUCUGGCACUCGUAAGGGUGCGUGGGUUGAAAUCCCACUCCGUGCA